AGCAGCCGCGGUAAUUCCAGCUCCAAUAGCGUAUAUUAAAGUUGUUGCAGUUAAAAAGCUCGUAGUUGAAUUUCGGGAUCAAUAUGUUGGUCGUGCCUUGGUACGUACUGGCGUCAUUGAUUUCUACCUUCUGAAGAACCUCGAUGUCAUUAAUUUGGUGUCUUGGGGGAAUCAGGACUGUUACUUUGAAAAAAUUAGAGUGUUUAAAGCAAGCUCACGCUUGAAUACAUUAACAUGGAAUAAUGAAAUAGGACGUUUGAUUCUAUUUUGUUGGUUUCUAGGAUCGACGUAAUGAUUAAUAGGGAUAGUUGGGGGCAUUAGUAUUCAAUUGUCAGAGGUGAAAUUCUUGGAUUUAUUGAAGACUAACUACUGCGAAAGCAUUUGCCAAGGAUGUUUUCAUUAAUCAAGAACGAAAGUUAGGGGAUCGAAGACGAUCAGAUACCGUCGUAGUCUUAACCAUAAACUAUGCCGACUAGGGAUCGGAUGAUGUUAAUUUUUUCAAUGACUCAUUCGGCGCCUU
Molecule: unclassified non-coding RNA, 520 nt
Filed under: uncultured Glomus
Lineage: Eukaryota; Fungi; Glomeromycota; Glomeromycetes; Glomerales; Glomeraceae
Description: SSU rRNA
Rfam family: Eukaryotic small subunit ribosomal RNA
Source: RNAcentral